AGAGUUUGAUCCGGCUCAGAAUUAAUGCUGGCGGUGUGCCUAACACAUGCAAGUCGAGCGAGAAAUCUUGAUUUAUAUCGGGAGAGUAGAGCGGCGAACGGGUGAGUAACACGUAGGUAAUCUGCCUUAGAGUGAGGGAUAACCUGCCGAAAGGUGGGCUAAUACCGCAUAAUUAUGGGGGGACAUAAGUCAUUCCCAUUUAAAGUCUUCGGACGCUCUAAGAGGAGCCUGCGCACUAUCAGUUUGUUGGUGGGGUAAUGGCCUACCAAGACUAUGACGGUUAGCUGGUCUGAGAGGACGACCAGUCACAAUGGAACUGAGAUACGGUCCAUACUCCUACGGGAGGCAGCAGUGAGGAAUUUUCCGCAAUGGCCUAACGGCUGACGGAGCGACACCGCGUGAAGGAUGAAGCUUUUCGGAGUGUAAACUUCUUUUCUGAUGGAACAAGUUCUGAGUUUACAUCAGGAAUAAGCCCCGGCUAACUACGUGCCAGCAGCCGCGGUAAUACGUAGGGGGCAAGCAUUAUUCGGAAUUAUUGGGCGUAAAGGGUCCGUAGGCGGUAAGUUAAGUCAAGUGUUAAAUUCUGAAGCUCAACUUCAGAGCUGCAUCUGAAACUGGCUUACUAGAGAAUCGUAGAGGCAAGUAGAAUUCCCGGUGUAGGGGUAAAAUCCGUAGAUAUCGGGAGGAAUACCAAAAGCGAAAGCAGCUUGCUGGGAUGAUUCUGACGCUGAGGGACGAAAGCGUGGGUAGCGAACGGGAUUAGAUACCCCGGUAGUCCACGCCCUAAACGAUGGAUACUAGGUGUUGGGAGAAUCGAUCCUUCCAGUGCCGACGCUAACGCAUUAAGUAUCCCGCCUGGGGACUACGAGCGCAAGCUUAAAACUCAAAGGAAUAGACGGGGACCCACACAAGCGGUGGAGCAUGUUGUUUAAUUCGAUAGUAAGCGAGGAACCUUACCAAGGCUUGACAUCCUAGGAAUCCCGAAGAAAUUUGGGAGUGCUCUUUGAGAACCUAGUGACAGGUGCUGCAUGGUUGUCGUCAGCUCGUGCCUUGAGGUGUUCGGUUAAGUCCGUAAACGAGCGCAACCCUUGUCUUAAGUUACAUAUUUCUUAAGAGACUGCCCUUGUUAAGAGGGAGGAAGGUGAGGAUGACGUCAAAUCAGCAUGGCCCUUAUGCCUUGGGCUACAAACGUGCUACAAUGGGGUAUACAACGGGUAGCCAACUCGUAAGAGGGAGCCAAUCCUAUCAAAGUACCUCCAAGUUCGAAUUGAGGUCUGCAACUCGACCUCAUGAAGUCGGAAUCGCUAGUAAUCGUGAAUCAGCAAUGUCGCGGUGAAUAUGUUCCUGGGUCUUGUACUCACCGCCCGUCACGUCCUGGAAGUCGGGAACACCCGAAGUCCCUCAUUGGAGGGCCUAAGGUGAAUUCGAUGACUGAGACGAAGUCGUAACAAGGCA
Molecule: ribosomal RNA, 1455 nt
Filed under: metagenome
Description: bacterial SSU rRNA
Rfam family: Bacterial small subunit ribosomal RNA
Source: RNAcentral